This 468-nucleotide ribosomal RNA is filed under the name uncultured bacterium. Its description in RNAcentral is "partial 16S ribosomal RNA". It matches the Rfam family "Bacterial small subunit ribosomal RNA", at positions 28 to 507 of the family's 1533-position model. The record is from RNAcentral.
GACGAACGCUGGCGGCGUGCUUAACACAUGCAAGUCGAACGGAAAGGCCAUGCUUUUGUGGGGUGCUCGAGUGGCGAACGGGUGAGUAACAAGUGAGUAACCUGCCCUUGACUUUGGGAUAACUUCAGGAAACUGGGGCUAAUACCGGAUAGGAGCUCCUGCUGCAUGGUGGGGGUUGGAAAGUUUCGGCGGUUGGGGAUGGACUCGCGGCUUAUCAGCUUGUUGGUGGGGUAGUGGCUUACCAAGGCUUUGACGGGUAGCCGGCCUGAGAGGGUGACCGGCCACAUUGGGACUGAGAUACGGCCCAGACUCCUACGGGAGGCAGCAGUGGGGAAUAUUGCACAAUGGGCGGAAGCCUGAUGCAGCAACGCCGCGUGCGGGAUGACGGCCUUCGGGUUGUAAACCGCUUUCGCCUGUGACGAAGCGUGAGUGACGGUAAUGGGUAAAGAAGCACCGGCUAACUACGUG